CCAGCCCCGCAGCCGCUGCGUGUGUUUGCGGUGCCAGCCAGAGGCUCAUUUAUGAUUUGUGAGCGCAAAUACCGGCUUCGGGGCUUGGCUCCCCGCACUCAGACCUCAGCAUUCAAGGGGGUUGAGGGCAACGGGUGGGAGACUGUAUUGGACGGGGGGGCUAGCAGGCAGCCCUGAGUAUCCCUGCCCCGCUCCUCGGCUAUCCCAGAGCGACCUACUGGGCCCAGGCAAAGUAAGGAGGCGCAAAAAGUCAACCCGGUAGGCGAGAGAGAGGGGUCGCUUGUCGGUAACGCAAAUUCACCGCAGCUCAUCGGAAAGUCGGCGCCAGACAUCGCUUUUAGGCUGACUCGCCAAAGGCCGUUGCUUCGUAAAUUUCUCAGGAUUCGUUACAACUAAUCCCUGCUCAUUAUUAUCAGCCCCGAGUCUUCCUUCAGCUCAGAUGCCGCGCUAAAGAGAAAUUGCUUCACAUAGUAACCCGAACUCAACUGUUUACAGCGGCACGACCGAAUUAUUCACCCAAAGACCAGGACACUAAUAAUUGCUCUUCGAUAACAGUCGAGAAAGAGGAAAAUAUAUAAAUCUCCUCGGCAGAGGAAAGGUUCUGGAAACCCACUGAAGUUGCAUCAUGUUAGAGCAUGGGCAGGUGAAAUCGGGAAUGACCUGCUUGUUUUCACUAUCCAAGAGAAAGCUCCCAAACAGGGGCAGACACUUGCCCCUAUUUUGACGUCCUAGACCGCAUACUGGGGGGCGGGAUGGUCUGUGCCACCCCGGGGGUCAUCGGUCCUGGAGCAGAGGGCCCUGACCAGGGCAUGGGGGAGGAACGCCAGGAGCUGCAGGAGCCCAGAGGGAGCGUGCCACACAGCCAGGACCCCGAAGCCAUCCCAGCAGACCGUCACCAAUGUCAUCCGGGGAGGCAACAACAUGUGCGUGCCAUCACUGUCCCCUUAUUGGGGGCGGGGAGGGAGACCAAGGACUGCGUGCAUGGGCCUUGUUUACCACGGAUCAUGCAGCAAUUUGUGCAUGUGCAUGCAUGUGCCAUGA
Non-coding RNA from Pelodiscus sinensis (Chinese soft-shelled turtle), 1041 nucleotides. The record is from RefSeq and is a predicted model, not a curated record. Lineage: Eukaryota; Metazoa; Chordata; Testudines; Trionychidae.